CAGGCUGGAGUGGAGUAGCACAAUCAUACCUCGCUGCAGGCUCCAACUCCUGGACUCAAGCAAGCCUGCCACCUCAGCUUGCUGAGUAGCUGGGAUUACAGUGCCAGCCACUGCACCCUGCUGGCCUGCAAGGUUUUACCUGGUGCUUUAUGGAAAACAUUUGCUGACCUCUGAGCUAGCUCACAGUUCAGGCAAGGAAAUUGAAGUCCUGAAAGUUUAACUGAUUUGUUCCAGCUCAGAUGACUACACAGUGAAUAAUUUAUAUUGGAUUGAGAUGAUCUGGUCUUGGAAGAUAUGAUAGAAUUUUCCUUUGCAACUGAUUGUGGUGCUUUUUUACAUACCCUUGUUAAAUGAGAAACUGUGCAAAGCACCAUCUCAACCCAGCGCUUCCAUGGGCUUCACUGACCCCAGGCCUCCG
Cercocebus atys (sooty mangabey) is the source of this 418-nucleotide long non-coding RNA. RefSeq lists it as uncharacterized. The transcript has 3 exons. Lineage: Eukaryota; Metazoa; Chordata; Mammalia; Primates; Cercopithecidae. The record is from RefSeq and is a predicted model, not a curated record.